GCUGGGCAUAGUGCCACAUGCCUGUAAUCCCAGUGGCUCAGGAGGCUGAGGCAGGAGGAUGGCAAGUUCGAGGCCAGCCUCAGCAACAGUGAGGUGAGACCCUGUUUCUA
RNAcentral lists this small RNA (110 nucleotides) under Marmota monax (woodchuck). The record is from RNAcentral. Lineage: Eukaryota; Metazoa; Chordata; Mammalia; Rodentia; Sciuridae.